Molecule: ribosomal RNA, 144 nt
Filed under: uncultured eukaryote
Lineage: Eukaryota
Description: partial 18S ribosomal RNA
Rfam family: Eukaryotic small subunit ribosomal RNA
Source: RNAcentral
UGGUGGAGUGAUUUGUCUGGUUGAUUCCGUUAACGAACGAGACCUCGACCUGCUAAAUAGUGUGCCAAAGUCCUCGGACUUUGUUUGUACAGCUUCUUAGAGGGACUAUCGGUGAUUAGCCGAUGGAAGUUCGAGGCAAUAACA